GGUCUCCUUCCCACCUCAUCGGGCACGCUUACAGAUACCACACGACCAGCGCAGCCUUCCCCCCCUUCCCUAGCUGAGCUCCCCAUCUGAACUGAAGCCGCUCCUCCUCCCCCGCCACCGGCCAUCAGCAGAGCGGAGAACUCCAUGGCGACGAUGAACUCCAGCGUGCUGGCUUGCAGCUACGCCCUCUCGGGGGCCUCCGACGCGAGCUGGAAGCUCGCCGCUGCCCCGUCGGCGGCGCCAGCCAGCGCCUCCUCCGGCCCCAAGCUGCCGGCGAUCCGCGCCCAGCAAGCCCGCCCCGCAGAGUCGAAGGAGCGCGAGGGGAGGAGAGCCGCCCUCCUGGGCCUCGCCGCCGCCGUCUUCACCGCCACCGCCGCCAACUCCUCCAACGCCAGC
Molecule: long non-coding RNA, 396 nt
Filed under: Spirodela polyrhiza (greater duckweed)
Lineage: Eukaryota; Viridiplantae; Streptophyta; Magnoliopsida; Alismatales; Araceae
Description: long non-coding RNA (SPOL_LNC002145)
Source: RNAcentral